Molecule: long non-coding RNA, 366 nt
Filed under: Salmo salar (Atlantic salmon)
Lineage: Eukaryota; Metazoa; Chordata; Actinopteri; Salmoniformes; Salmonidae
Description: lncRNA (ENSSSAG00000102277.1)
Source: RNAcentral
CAGACUUACAUAAUUACAAAGAGGAGAUUCUCCUGAUUAAAAUGGUGCCCGUGUAACAGUUUUGGUGCCCGUGUAACGGCCCACUAACUUUUAAAGGAGGAACCACGUUGGCUAAUAGGACCGAUGGUAAAGGUAGAUUACUCUCCCGGCGACGAAUCCUUACAAGGCACCCGGACCUUCGUCCUCGAUACCGCCGUCUCUUUCUCCUGCAAAUGACGGGGAUGAGGGCCUUGUCGGGCGUCUAAAGUAAAUCCUUCCCGUCCGACUGGUUGAAGAAAAAGUAUUCCUCCAGUACGGGGUGAUAACACAAGACAGACAAAACCAAACGAAAAGGAAAAGGGAUCGGUGGCAGCUAGUAGACCGGCG